RNAcentral lists this ribosomal RNA (1695 nucleotides) under Triticum aestivum (bread wheat). Its description in RNAcentral is "partial small subunit ribosomal RNA". Lineage: Eukaryota; Viridiplantae; Streptophyta; Magnoliopsida; Poales; Poaceae. The record is from RNAcentral.
AUGAAUGAACCGCGUCGUCGACGUCCGGGCAAAGCUGCGCCGUCGUAUGGUGAUUUUGAUGGCUUGUUUAGUGUUCAGAUCCACAACAAGGGUUUCUUCUGUGGGAGUGAGAGCAACAAGACUUACAUGGAUUAUGAGGUUGACUGGUUUGACAUGUGUGAGAGUGACACAUGGUCAAUGUUAUGGAUCAAGGAUUUUCUUUCACAACUGGGACAUGACAUGGAAGCCUCCAAAUUAGAUGUGUAUUGGUGCCAACCAGGGAAGACAGUUGCUAAUGGGCUCAAACUUAUGCAAUGUGAUGAAGAUAUUGUUCUUAUGAUUAUUGCAACAAUAGAGCACAAGAACCUACUGCUUGUAGUAGAUCAUGGUGAAACUUUGCAGUCAUCGGAUGAUGAUGUUUUGAUUACUGGAGUGAUAGAACUGCCUAAGGUCAUUACUCCCACAAAACCCAAUGGAAAAGAAAAUGUUAGCUGCUCAGCGAAAGGAAAGAGUCCAAGACAGAAUGUAUCAAAGAAAACAAAGAGGAGGAUGUCAUAUGGUGAAGGAUCUAGUUCUGGGUUUACAGCUGAAGUGGAUGAAGAGCAAGGAGAGGAGCAUGGUCAGAGCAAUGAAGAAGAGGGUGAUGUUCAGGAUGAGUUAACAGAUGAGGAUUUUUAUGAGAGUGACUUUGAUGUGCAAGAUGGUGACGAUGACCUGUUUGAUGCACAUGUUGACAAAAAUGUAGAUGACCAUAGAGAGAAGACUGAAAUUGCUGACUAUGAAGCAGAACUCCCAGAAGAUGCACUAGAGGACAGUCAUUUGAAUAUGUCAAGAGAAGAGAAAGAGAAGUUGAAGCAUAAAUUCAGUGUUUUCAACCCUACCACAGACCUGAAUGUACCAGUGUUCAAGCUAGGUAUGGUAUUUGCAGACAUGAUAGAGCUGAGACAUGCUCUCAAUGCAUACAGUGUCAGAAAUAGAGUGAAGGUGAGGAAGCUCAGGAAUACUAACAGGUCAUUGGAGGCAGUAUGCAAGGAUGACUGUACUUGGUACUUGAAGGCAGGCAAAGACAACAGAUCCAGCAGCAUUCAUAUCAAGAAGUAUACUGACAAACAUACUUGCACCAAAGCUUGGGAUCUGAAAGUGCUUACUGCUCCCUUUCUUACUAAACAGUUCAGAGAAGAGUUCAGAGGCAAUGAGAAAAUGCCCUUACUGAAAUUUUCAGAGAAGGUGGAACAAGAAUUUAACUUAGUUGCUCACAGGAGUAAGCUGGGAAGGGCAAGAAAAGCAGCUGUUAAAGAAAUCAGGGGAGAAGAUGAUGAUCAAUACAACACUUUGUGGGACUAUGGGCAGGAGUUGAGAAGGAGCAAUCCAGGGAGCCUAUUUUUCUUGUGCACAAAGGAAGUGUUUGAUGACAAGGCCAAGGUCACAAAGGACCACUUCUCAACAUUGUACUGGUCUUAUGAUGCAUGUAAGAGGGGUUUUUUGAAGGGCUGUAAACCAAUAAUUUUCCUUGAUGGUUGUCACAUCAAAACAAGAUAUAAGGGGAAUAUAUUGACAGCAGUUGGGAUUGAUCCAAAUGAUUGUAUCUUCCCUAUAGCAUUUGGCAUAUGUGAAGUGGAGUCAACACACAGUUGGGAGUGGUUUCUAGCCUCUUUGAAGGAUGACCUGAAUAUAAUCAAUACAUCAACAUUCACCAUUAUGAGUGACAGGCAAAAG